This 480-nucleotide ribosomal RNA is filed under the name uncultured bacterium. RNAcentral's name for it is "partial 16S ribosomal RNA". It matches the Rfam family "Bacterial small subunit ribosomal RNA", at positions 28 to 507 of the family's 1533-position model. The record is from RNAcentral.
GAUGAACGCUAGCGGCAGGCCUAACACAUGCAAGUCGAGGGGUAGAAGGAGCUUGCUCCUUUGAGACCGGCGCACGGGUGCGUAACGCGUAUGCAAUCUACCUUGUACAGGGGAAUAGCCCAGAGAAAUUUGGAUUAAUGCCCCAUAGUAUAUAACCUUCGCAUGUUGGUUAUAUUAAAGUUCCAACGGUACAAGAUGAGCAUGCGUCCCAUUAGUUAGUUGGUAAGGUAACGGCUUACCAAGACGAUGAUGGGUAGGGGUCCUGAGAGGGAGAUCCCCCACACUGGUACUGCGACACGGACCAGACUCCUACGGGAGGCAGCAGUGAGGAAUAUUGGUCAAUGGUCGCAAGACUGAACCAGCCAUGCCGCGUGCAGGAAGACGGUCCUAUGGAUUGUAAACUGCUUUUAUACAGGAAGAAACCCUCCCACGUGUGGGAGCUUGACGGUACUGUAGGAAUAAGGAUCGGCUAACUCCGUG